This is a small nuclear RNA of Lynx canadensis (Canada lynx), 106 nucleotides long. The record is from Ensembl. Lineage: Eukaryota; Metazoa; Chordata; Mammalia; Carnivora; Felidae.
GCUUGCUUCAGCAAUGCGUAUGCUAAAACUGGAACGAUGCAGAGAAGAUUAGCAUGGACCCUCCAAAUUUGUGAAGCAUUCUAUAUGAAAAACAGAGAAAAAGAAU